Camelus dromedarius (Arabian camel) is the source of this 1389-nucleotide long non-coding RNA. RefSeq lists it as uncharacterized. The transcript is spliced from 5 exons. Lineage: Eukaryota; Metazoa; Chordata; Mammalia; Artiodactyla; Camelidae. The record is from RefSeq and is a predicted model, not a curated record.
UUAUAUUGACUUCAAGAGCUUUGCGCUGAAGCAUGUUGGAACGCCCCUAACUGAAAGAGAAAGAUACCUACUUUGUUUGGGGCUGGUCAAUCCUGGAGACUGAAACUUGGAAGGCAAGCUGAGGUUAAGUAUUGGCAAAACUACAGUGAGACUUACUGGAAAUGACAGCCCACUUCCUGCUGAACCGUGAGGAAAUGAGGAAAAGAGUCCAUUUGAUACUUGAGACAAAAUUAAAUGACAAAGUACAAUUGAGAAAGGCCAGACAGCAAAGAUAACAGGCCAAUGGUGGGAUUAUCCUUCUCCUUCUAAGUCACCUGAAAUCCAAAAUAUUAGAACAUUGCUUUGAGUUACACACUGAACAGUUCUUACUAAGCGUCUACUGUCUGCACCACAGCAUGGGAUGCACUUCCAAUGUCAGUGUAUUGGCUACCGGCCUGUUUCUCCCUCUCAGCCAGAAGAUAAACAAACCCAUUUGUUUGAAUUGGAAAAAUGACAGUCAAUGCUCUGCAGAUCUUCCAUGUGAAAAACUGUGUCUUUAAAACAAAACAAAAAGAAGCUUAAGUGGUGCUGGAAUUUUGACAGUGUUGUCACAAAGUGCUGCCCAUUAAAAGCAAUUAGCCAUUGUUCUUAUUAACUGGAUAUGCAGCUUAAUGCAGCUCAAAGGGCUCACAGUCUGAAUCUGAUUUGCUUACUUUUUUGCAAAUAAUUAUGACUCAAGGGAAGACUCAGUAGAUCUACCUAAAAUUAUAAGUGUGUGUUCAUUUUGCUCCCUUAGAAACAGUAUCCUGUUAUUUGUAUCCACCUUCUAGAAUAUGAUCUUUUCCAGUGGACAAGUAUGGUUUGCUUGGCAAAAGAAUGCAUAAGGACAUCCAUUUAUGUCUAUUAAUUUGGCUAAGAGAUAAAGCAAGAGAAUGGUGGGUAAUGACCUUUCUAGCUACAUCGUUCCUGAAAGCUCACUGCAGUGGAUUCUGAAGCAAAGUGUUCUUUUGAGAAGGACUAAUCACAACUGAAAAAUAACUCAAAUCUUACUAGAAAGUUUCUACAUCCUUAAAUGGUAAGGGACCUAUAAGUAUGAAGUUUGAUAGGAAAUCUGUUUCAAGGUCAUUCUGACCUUGAAGCAAGCUGGGACACAAGCAAUCUCCAUGUGGCUCUUCCCAUGGCCCAAAACUAUUGUGAGGUUAUUCAGAAACAACAAAGGACACCUGCUGAGUUUGAAGACAGAAGGGCAAAUAUCCAUUACUGCAUUGUUGUGGCAUCUCUGACAUUUGCUCACCAGUGCCUGAGCCGUCCAUGGGACCCCAACAGCCCAGGGUGAUGGAAAAGUCUGUGGGACUUAUUUGGUUUCUCCCAUGACUGAGCUGACUAGCAAGGCUGAGAAGCUGCCAUGAU